This 747-nucleotide long non-coding RNA is filed under the name Phoenix dactylifera (date palm). RNAcentral's name for it is "long non-coding RNA (PDAC_LNC010870)". Lineage: Eukaryota; Viridiplantae; Streptophyta; Magnoliopsida; Arecales; Arecaceae. The record is from RNAcentral.
GUGAUACAGUCCUACUAUCGUGGAUCCCUACAGGACGGAGGUCAUGGACAACUCGUCAAACCCCAUCGUCUGUCAUAUGUCAAGAUUUAUUCGACUUGAGUUCGAUAGUGGAAAACUCUUUUUCCACUUUAUAUUACUGCCUUGGCCAUGGUCUUAGAACUCAGUCUAACAAAUCACAUAGGAUCACUCCUCUUCUAUCAAGGUCGAUAGAUUCCUUAUAGGUGCAUACCCUACUCCUACAGUGAACCUACUGCAGCCAAUCUACACUGCAUGGACCCAUAUGGCUAGAGACCAUGUAUGUGUGCAGUCAAACUACAAUAACCUCACUGUGAGUAGCCGAAGCACCGCAGGUCAAAGGACCAGUCACACUACUGCAACAUCAAGCAAGUCACGGACGAGUGGAUAGACAUCCAAGUGACUUCUUGUCUUGGUCACGCUCAGUACCCUUAUUCUCUAACAAGCACCUGCACUAUCACUUCAGUGUCCCUACACUGUGGACUCAAGUCUCGUCCAUCCGGAAAGAAAGUGAUCUGUGCACUGAUCGGAUCGAUCACCGUCCUCGUGAUGAUCCAUUGAUCAGGAGCAUUUAGAAAUUAAUCACCAAUGAUACAUGGCUCAAAUUCUCAACUCUUGAGAAUAUGUAUCAUUAUCUUAUUAAUUUCUUGGACGAUUCAUAGACACAUAAACAAUAUGAAUGAAAAGAUGCCUUUUAUUUAUUCAAUAAUAAAUAGUCAAGUACAAAAUUAU